AUGAGCGGCGGCGGCAUGGACUCGUCGUCGUCGUCGUCCUCGGGCACGGGGGGCUCCGGCGCGGCGCCGUUCGUGGCCAAGACGUACGGGAUGGUGGACGACCGGGCGACCGACGCCGUCGUCGCGUGGGGGCCCGCCGGCAACAGCUUCGUGGUCGCCGACCCCUUCGCCUUCUCGCGCGCGCUGCUGCCGGCGCACUUCAAGCACGCAAACUUCUCCAGCUUCGUGCGGCAGCUCAACACCUACGGCUUCCGCAAGGUGGACCCGGACCGGUGGGAGUUCGCGCACGCCUCCUUCCUCCGCGGCCAGACCCACCUCCUCCCCCGCAUCGUCCGGCGCCAGAGCAGCAAGCGCGGCAAGGAUAGCAGGGAGGAGGAGGAGGAGGAGAGCAGCAGCGCGGCGCUGGCGAUGGAGGUGGUGCGGCUGAGGAAGGAGCAGAGGGCCACGGAGGAGCGCGUGGCGGAAAUGUGGCGCCGGGUGCAGGAGACGGAGCGCCGGCCCAAGCAGAUGCUCGCCUUCCUCCUCAAGGUGGUCGGCGACCCGGACGUGCUGCGCCGCCUCGCGGGCGGCCCAGGCUCGGGGGGCGGCCCGGACGAGGGCGCGGAGGAGGUCAAGAGGCCGCGGCUGCUGCUCGACGGGGACGGCGCGGGGGUGGACGGGGGGCUACUGUACCACCACAGCGGCAACCUGAUGAACCUGGGGGAGGCCCUGGUGCCGGAGGAGCCGAGCGUGGACAUGUACUACGCCGGAGGCGACGGGUUCGGCGGCGUGCAGGCGGACGGCGGGCCUCCGUACGCUUUCCACAUGGACACCGGCUACUGA
RNAcentral lists this ribosomal RNA (822 nucleotides) under Triticum aestivum (bread wheat). RNAcentral's name for it is "partial small subunit ribosomal RNA". Lineage: Eukaryota; Viridiplantae; Streptophyta; Magnoliopsida; Poales; Poaceae. The record is from RNAcentral.